UGCUCUUCUCUCAGAUCAAAUUUGUCCGAGGGGGUCCCUGGAGCGGCGGUCUCCGACGGUGUAAUGAUGACCAAGGACGAGUGUUUCACCCACUUCCCCACAGUUAUUUAUAUACAAGAAGGAACCUGCAAGUAAGUAUUUCGUUGGACGGCUCAAGCUGGAUACUCUUACGUUUAGUCUGCCUGCACUCAACGGUCUUCAGAGAACUCUCCAUGCAUGCAGAGUCCAAAACAAAGCCGUUCAGAAGUCCACUUUUCCCCGAUUUCGGCAGAUAGCAGGCCUAUUUAUCUACCCAUGAAGCAAGCCAAAUCGCCCUGAAGCUUGAAACACGUGCCCACAUUCCUCAAUUGGUGACAUAUGCUGCAGCCCUAUAUUCCUCAUGACUGUCAUGUCUGGCUGAAGGUCCUGUGGGCUCAGGGAAAUGUUUUUUUUUUAAGUUAAUCUAUUUUUAAGCGCUGCUGUAAUUAAAGUAAUCAACAUGUUAUAAAAAGAAAGGGUUUCCUAGUUUGUGAAUUAAUUAGUGAGUAGGUAGGUACCAUAAAUCAAUGGCUUCUUGGAAAUAAUUGUGUAUAUUACAGAUUAUGGGUAUAUGAUUGAUGUAUUUCACUGGGCUGAGGUAAUUUCUAAUCCUACCUGAAUGUAUUCCCAUGUGUAUCAGGGUCAAACCCUGCCUGUAUUCCCUCAAACACUUACGGUUAUUGCUGCAAGAAAGCAAUGUCAUGUGUAUGCUGCAAGAAAA
This is a long non-coding RNA of Oncorhynchus keta (chum salmon), 739 nucleotides long. RefSeq lists it as uncharacterized. Lineage: Eukaryota; Metazoa; Chordata; Actinopteri; Salmoniformes; Salmonidae. The record is from RefSeq and is a predicted model, not a curated record. The transcript has 4 exons.